AUACAAUGGAAUACUCCUCAGCCAUAAAAAGGAGUGAAUUAAUGGCAUUCGCAGUGACCUGGAUAAGAUUGGAGACUAUUAUUCUAAGUGAAAGAACUCAGGAAUGGAAAACCAAACAUCGCUAUGUUCUCACUCAUAAGUGGGAGCUAAGCUAUGAGGAUGCAAAGGCAUAAGAAUGACACAAUGAACUUUGGGGACUCAGGGAGAAAGGGUGGGAAGGGGAUGAGGAAUAAAAGACAAAAAUUGGGUGCAGUGUAUACUGCUCAGGUGAUGGGUGUACCAAAAUCUCACAAAUCACCACUAAAGAAGUUAACCAACACCACCUGUUCCCCAGUAACCUAUGGAAAGAAAGAAAUGUCUCAUAUGUUUCUGCCUAAAUUGGUCUUUAAUACUUUAGCGAUUCUCUUGAGUUUGGACUAUAAAAUAGUUUUGGUCUUUUUGUAUUUUCUGCUGUAAGCCUGUAUGAUUAUGUAAUGGUGAGUAAAAUUGCUAGGCCAGAUACGCAGUUCUAGGAAGUUAUUCAAAGAUGUGCUUUAGUAUAUUAUUUUCUACCUUUUUAAAUUCAUUUUGAGCUUGGCUUUUGAGCCUCUAUUUUCCAAGGUGAGGUGUAUGUUUUUAUAAUGUUAUGCUUAGCCCUUGUGUAUUUUCAUCUCUGAGUUUGAAAUUUGGGGUUAUAUUGGCAAAGGGAGGUUUGGGUUUUAAUUAGGUGACCUGUUACAGGAAAUGUUAAGCUUCUGUUUCUUUGGGGUAGACAGUGAGAGAUUUAUCAAGAUAAAGAAGAAAAAUAAAUCCUAAAGUUAAUAUUCAAUACAUGAUGAUGUCACCCUUACUAAAGCCAAAGAGGGCAUUAUCCUAUCAUUCUCAUCGCUAAGAACUCUUCUCCUCUUGGCACAUGCUUAUUCAGUUAAAGAUAAGCCAAGCCUUUCUUUUGUAUUUUUUUUUUAAGAGAAAAAAUUUACUUCGGUUUUGAGUUUUAUUCCUGGCUCUGGGUAGCUUAUUUUUUUGACCCUUAUUUUCCCCAAUUUAUAAAAUGAAAUAGUUAUCUUCACUCCCCAGGAUUGUUGUGAAGAGUAAGUCAAAAGAUAAAAUGAGGUGACUCAGGCAAAAGUACCUGGCCCUGUGUAGUGAGUACAUUGUAUGUGUUACAUAUAUUCUUAUUGCUGAGAAUCCACGAAAGAAUGAAUUAAAUAAUGAGGACCCUUUCAUCAGGGUUUUUGAGUGAGUUUUUUAAAAUACAAGGUAGUAGUUUGUGUAAAUACUAAAUCCAUUGGUACCUGUGCAGAAUGUAGGAAAUGGAGUUGCUAAUUCCAAAAAAAACAGCACAUAUGCUGAGGAAAGUAUAAUACCUAAUAUAUAUGGUUUAAGCAAUGUAAAAUUCCAUGAAUAUGUUCCUUUUCAUCUUAAAAUUUGUGAUUUAAAAAACAUUGAUAUUACUAUAAAGAAUUAUUAUUAUUUCCCUUGAUUUACAGAGUAUUGUUACAAUCACAUUUGAAGUACCAGGAAAUGCAAAGGAAGAACAUCUUAAUAUGUUUAUUCAGAAUCUCCUGUGGGAAAAGAAUGUGAGAAACAAGGACAAUCACUGCAUGGAGGUCAUAAGGCUGAAGGUACAGUUUACUGUUGCAGACUUUUGGACAAAGUCCUUUUCUUGGCUGUUAUAAAAACUAUAUUUGGUUUUAAACAGAAACACUGGUUUUAGUACAAAUCAUCUUUGUCUACUUUCAUUUUUCUUUAUUAUUUUCAUGACUGAAAAGGAGCUUUGGAAAUCACUGCAUAAGGCUUGAUUUAUUUGCACAACUUUCUUUAGGGUUGCAGCUAGAACAAACCUGUGCGCUUUGAAAUGUUACCUUCUGCUCUCUGUUCCCAAGUACAGAGAAAUAAUGUUGCAAAUCUCACUUCUGCUGAACAUUAUGCUUCCUGAUGCAUUUAGCAGACACUAAACAUUUGUCAUACUCUAAACAAAGUUACAAAGGACUAGAAGAAUUCUUGUUCUGUAUUUAGAAACCCACUCACAUUACUUGAUAUUUGGGUAUUUAAGUCAUGAAAGGUAUUUCUUCUAGGAAGCAGUGAUUCUAAAGUGUAUGCUUAACCAGUCAGUUGAGUGUCUACUCUUGUGUGUUCACAAGUGUACACAAAGUUUUUGGUAAAUUAAGAAUAUUAUUUCAAAUAAAUUAAUUUCAUCCCCAUAGGAGCCAGUUUAUCAGAUAAUUCGUUUCUCAUUUCUGCAAAUCAGUACACAAUGAGCUCAUAUUCAGAUAAAUAUAAUAGUUUUUCUUUAUUUCAACAUUGUUCAUUGAUUGCAACCCAUUUCUAAAACAAAUUAUUUAAUAUAACCAAACUCCUUUAACUUCUCAACUUUUCCCACUAAAACUGUGAAACAUUAUAUAAAAUCUUUAAUCAAUAGGAUAUGAUACAUAUUUCAUCAUUUUGUUUCAGGUUUUGGUUGUGAUAAAUAACACUGAAAAACCAUCCUAAUAUAUGUAUUAACUUUAUCAUUAGAAAAGGGGAUUGUUCAAAAAAAAAACAAUACACAGAAACCUUUUUUGAAAAUUAAAAACAUUAAGAAACUUCUUGUAAUUCACAAAUAAUUGAAAUUAAGUAAUUUUCUCAGCUUAAGAGUUUGUAUUUUUUAAGUGAAUAUCAGUAAUUAAUCCAUUAACAUUGAUGCUCUAUUUCUGCUUUUAAGUUUGAACUGAGGCUGAUCAAUGUUCAGUCAAUUCUCCUUUGAGCAGGGAUUGGUGUCAAUCAAAGACAAAUCACAACAAGUGAUUGUCCAGGGUGUCCAUGAGCUCUAUGAUCUGGAGGAGACUCCAGUGAGCUGGAAGGAUGACACUGAGAGAACAAAUUGAUUGGUCCUCAUUGGUAAGUCUCAAAGGAUUCACAGUUUUAAAACAAAGUGAAAAAUAUAUUUGAAAGGGAUAUCAUGUGCCACUUAAACAGAUUAACCAUUCAGGUCCUCUUUUAAAACUAAAUAAGCUUGUGGUCAAUGUUUCAUCUUUAUCAUGUUACAACGUUCGUAAAAGCUUGUUAGGACUUUUGUUCUUCUUCAGUUUUAGAAAAGUGGUUAAUCCAAGGACCAAUGUGACUUUGAUGUACUGACCUGGAAAGUUAAAGAUGGAAUCACUCAAUUGCUAUUCUUUUUGUAAAUUUCUAAACACCAUAAAGCAUUUAAUGAACUGGAAUUGAUAGGUGAACUGUGUCAUUUUAAUAAGCAUAAUGUAAUC
RNAcentral lists this long non-coding RNA (3221 nucleotides) under Homo sapiens (human). RNAcentral describes it as "non-protein coding lnc-FOXD4L5-2:2". The record is from RNAcentral. Lineage: Eukaryota; Metazoa; Chordata; Mammalia; Primates; Hominidae.